This 382-nucleotide ribosomal RNA is filed under the name uncultured bacterium. RNAcentral's name for it is "bacterial SSU rRNA". It matches the Rfam family "Bacterial small subunit ribosomal RNA", at positions 28 to 412 of the family's 1533-position model. The record is from RNAcentral.
GACGAACGCUGGCGGCGUGCUUAACACAUGCAAGUCGAGCGGUAAGGCCCUUUCGGGGGUACACGAGCGGCGAACGGGUGAGUAACACGUGGGUGACCUGCCUUUAGCUCUGGGAUAAGCCCGGGAAACCGGGUCUAAUACCGGAUAUGACUCCGCGGCGCAUGUUGUGGGGUGGAAAGCCUUGUGCGGCUGAGGAUGGGCCCGCGGCCUAUCAGCUUGUUGGUGGGGUGAUGGCCUACCAAGGCGACGACGGGUAGCCGGCCUGAGAGGCGACCGGCCACACUGGGACUGAGAUACGGCCCAGACUCCUACGGGAGGCAGCAGUGGGGAAUCUUGCGCAAUGGGCGAAAGCCUGACGCAGCGACGCCGCGUGAGGGAUGAC